Cricetulus griseus (Chinese hamster) is the source of this 236-nucleotide non-coding RNA. NCBI's taxonomy places the organism in Eukaryota, Metazoa, Chordata, Mammalia, Rodentia, Cricetidae. The record is from RefSeq and is a predicted model, not a curated record.
AUUUUUUUCUUGGCAGGACAACAUUGCUGAGAAAGCUUGCUGUGGGGUUCCAUGCAAGUGCUCUGGAGAGAGAGGGGACAGAGGGCCCAUUGGAAGCAUUGGGCCAAAGGGUAUCUCUGGGGAAGAUGGCUACCGAGGCUACCCUGGCGAUGAAGGAGGACCUGGUGAGCGAGGCCCACCUGGUGUGAAUGGGACACAAGGUUUCCAGGGCUGCCCAGGCCAGAGAGGAGUCAAGG